Oncorhynchus tshawytscha (Chinook salmon) is the source of this 309-nucleotide long non-coding RNA. The record is from Ensembl. Lineage: Eukaryota; Metazoa; Chordata; Actinopteri; Salmoniformes; Salmonidae.
AUAGUAAAAAUAAAGAAAAACCCUGUAAUGAGUAGGUGUGUACAAACCUUUGACUGGUACUGUAUAUAGCAGUGUUUAUUGGCUGUGUAAUAGCUGUGUCGCGGUUCUUAGCUGUGUGAUGGGGGGUCACUUCUCUACUUAUUUGUGAGGUGCUUAGGUGUGUGAUGGGGCGUCAGUUCUUUACUUAUUUGUGAGGUUCUUAGCUGUGUGAUGGGGGGUCACUUCUCUACUUAUUUGUGAGGUUCUUAGCUGUGUGAUGGGGAGUCACUUCUCUACUUAUUUGUGAGGUUCUUAGCUGUGUGAUGGGGG